CUGAUUCGGUGGCCAGCGAUCAGCGAGCAAAAGGCGACUGUGACUUGAAGGUUGCCCCCUGCUGGCAGCCACCAAACAAACCAAGCAGUCACCCGAAAUAAUCUUCAGAAAGCCCUGUGAAACGUACGGAUGACAUGGUCCUGUUGGCUUCCUCAGUCUGUGAUUUGGAAUGGUUUACAACUGAGUGUGAAGUGGCAGGGAUGAGGAGCAGCACCUCCAAAUAUGAAGCCAUGAUCUACUGUAGUAGAAAGGUGGACUGCACUCUUCAGGUAGGAGCACCGUGAUGUUCCAACAAUGAUGGAUGGAUUAAAAGCCA
Polypterus senegalus (gray bichir) is the source of this 316-nucleotide long non-coding RNA. RefSeq lists it as uncharacterized. The transcript has 3 exons. NCBI's taxonomy places the organism in Eukaryota, Metazoa, Chordata, Cladistia, Polypteriformes, Polypteridae. The record is from RefSeq and is a predicted model, not a curated record.